AGGUCCGUGGUGUAAUUGGCAGCAUGAAAGAUUCCAAACCUUUUGGCGGGGGUUCGAGUCCCUCCGGGCCUG
RNAcentral lists this transfer RNA (72 nucleotides) under Desulfobulbaceae bacterium. RNAcentral describes it as "tRNA-Trp". It matches the Rfam family "tRNA". Rfam says of the family: Transfer RNA (tRNA) molecules are approximately 80 nucleotides in length. Lineage: Bacteria; Pseudomonadati; Thermodesulfobacteriota; Desulfobulbia; Desulfobulbales; Desulfobulbaceae. The record is from RNAcentral.